RNAcentral lists this microRNA precursor (92 nucleotides) under Paramuricea clavata. The record is from RNAcentral. Lineage: Eukaryota; Metazoa; Cnidaria; Anthozoa; Malacalcyonacea; Plexauridae.
ACUUGAUGGUGUUUAUGACGUCGAAUAUCGACGUCAUAAACACCAAACUUGAUUGGUGUUUAUGACGUCGAAUAUCGACGUCAUAAACACCA